This is an RNA transcript of Diorhabda sublineata, 5052 nucleotides long. It is a transcript of the gene named dnaJ homolog subfamily C member 1, with no coding region annotated. Lineage: Eukaryota; Metazoa; Arthropoda; Insecta; Coleoptera; Chrysomelidae. The record is from RefSeq and is a predicted model, not a curated record. The transcript has 6 exons.
UAGUAUAGCUAUGGGUCGAUAUGGUCGAAACAUCAGUUUGAAAAUAUAUAUACCCCACAAAAAUUAUCGCAUCACUGGUAUUUUAGGAUUUUUUAAUACUUAAUUUUAGUUUUUUUGGGACAAUCUGUAUAUGUAUCAACUUAAUAGAUAUUUCUUGUUUCUUAUCAUGGACAAAAAAAUAUCACAAUUUCUUACAAAUUUUUUGGAAGCAAAAAUUUUUGAGUAAAUCAUUUCUGUCUUGGAGAAUGCAUUGAGAUCGAGAACUUUCUAAGGAAAUUGUGUUAUUGUUUAGUGAAAAUUAUUUUGUUACUAAUUGAUGUGCUUCAUACAAGAUAUCCGCAGUCAAGAUACGUCGCCGGGGUAAUUGGAGUUUAACAAAGUACCAUAUCCAGAGUUAUUAUACCAAGAAACAGGGCAGCUAACCAGAAGAUCCGGACAAGGCUGCGGUAGUAGAUGAUCGUUAUUUGAGGUUAACGGCGUUAAGAAUUAGGCAUACUACCGCUCGAAGGCUGCAAGCUGUUGGCUGCUCGUAAUGUCCGAAUAAGCCUAGUUCUAGUUUUCUUAACAAGAUAUCUAUUUCUUCUAUGGUUUCUCCAACUAAUAACUCGUCAUCUGUCAUGAACAUAUAUUGCUAGAAAUAUACCAUUAUCGUUUUUUCUAAAAACCCAUUUAUUUGUCAAGAUUUUCUUAUUUUUCGCUUCUUCUUGAUCUACAUACUCCUAUGUCUGGUUUCUUUCAAACGAUUCGUUUUCAUCAUUUACUUAUAGCUUGUUCCCAGUAUUGAUUUUCUUCACUUUGCAUUGCUCAUUAUAUGUUAUGAGAGCAUAAUCAUUGUAUUGACUUGGUUUCUUAAUACUUCUUUCUCUUCUACUUGUAAAGCCUUGUUGAUUCCUCUCCGUCACUUUCUUCAUAAAUAUAUCGCUUUCAGUAACAAUUUUUUCUGUUUCUUCAUUUAUUGGUAAUUUUCUUUCACUAAUUUUACUUGAAUUUUUCUUUCUUCUGGAAUUUCUUUUAGUUUUUCUUCCAUAUUUUUAUUUUUUCGUGUGUGCUUUGUAUUUUAUCUUCUUCAAUAUUUUACAUUUCUUCUUGGACUUGUUGAAUAUUAUUUUCUUUCUCUUGUUUAAGGCUUUCAUUUUCUUCUGCAUCAUCAAUUUUUAUAUCUAUUUUUGAAAUUUUUAUUUCAUUUUUAUUCUUUUUAAUUAUAACAUCUCUUCUAAUUAUAAUUUUAUUAUUUUUUUCAUCAAAUAAUCACUUCUUUCAUCAAGUAUCUUUGCAUAUGUUUCUGUUACAAAAAUUUGCAUUCUUUCAAUACCAGGUUUUUUAUUUGCCCAUAUUUUGGUUGGUGUUUUAUUAAUUGGUAUAUAUUCUGUAGGAGUUCGGUUUAAUAUUUAACUCUGGCUGCUUCACCCUAAAAUUUCUCUUUGACUGCCAAAUAAUAGUGAUCUAACUUUCUCAAUAAGUGUUCAAUUGAAGCUCCUACUUUAUCAUUUUUCUGUAGUAGUCUAUCAAUUCAUUGUUAUAUUCAUCUCCAUUGUCACCAUUGUUGAAACUUUCAUAUUUUUGUAUCUUUCAUUUGCUUCUAGAUAUUCUUGUAUAAAGUCUGAAGCUUCAUUUUUAUAUUCUAAUAAAUACAUUUCUGUCCAGUUUGUGCAAUCAUCAAUAAGAGUGAGAAUAUAGUUUCAUUAUCCCAGGUUAGUGGAUCAAUUGGACCACAUUAAUGAGUAUGGAUAAUUUCCAAUGCUCUUGUAGCCUUUGUUCUUUCUGAAUUAAAUGGAAAUUUUGUUUGAUGAGAAUGAGAAGUCACAAUCUCUACUUUUCCAGUCAAUCCUUAAUACCACCUCUAAAUCAAUCAUUUUAUUUAUAUUUUUUAUGUUAAUUUUCAAUGCCAGUCAUUUACUUUUUCUUGUUAAAUUUUCAACGAAAAACUUUCUUCUUUGUUUUCAUUUGAUUCAUUUAGUUACUGAAAAUAAGCCUGGGACAUUCUUUUUUCCUUCAAAUAUUUUUUGAUUAUUUUUUAAAACCAUAACUUUGUCUCCUACAAAGAUCACCUUUCCUUUAUUUUCGGUAAUUGCUUUUCUUGUCCUUUUUACAAAUUUUGCAAAACAUUUUUUCAUUUUUCUUAGUUUCAUUUCUGUUUCCUGAACAAUUUUUAUUACUUUUCUCAUAUUUACUCAUACUAGCACUUUUGUAUCUACAAAAAGGUGCUAUGUCUAUGUUUCUACAUAUAUGUGGACAAACUGUGUAAUUGUUUUGAAAAGCUACACUCAGUGCCUUUUUCAAAUUGACAACUAAAAAAUUCUCAAAGCAAAUAACAUUUUUGAUCAUUUGUGUUCCUUUUAAUGAGUGUUUUUAAUUUUGUGUACAUCUGGGCUGAACUUUCACAGUUCAUUAUAUAAAUUAUCACCUUUUUAACCACUGUAGAGAUAAUUAUUUUCUGCGUUUUCGCAUCUUUUUAUAUCCAGGUUUUCUUAUCUCUCUUCCAGCUAAAUUUUCCAUUUUUCUUCUCCCAUUACUAUAUUAUAAAUUUCACUAGCUUUAAAAGAGAUUCCUGUUUAAAAGUCCCAAAUUUCAAAAAAUUCAGAGCAUCAGUUUUUCAAUAUUACGUAUUUCUUCAGUUUCAGUAGCCAUUGUUUUGACUUUCGUUUAAAAAAGCACAAGUUACUUUUAUUUUUGUUUUUAUGUUGAUCUUUAUGGCACUUUUUCAGUUAGGGCUUUCCUGGGCCCAUAACCUGUUAGUUUUUUGUUUUAUUUUAUUCUUUUAUUAAUAAGGAGUAGUACACAGUGGAACUUUUUAUUGUUUUUAUGUUAUUACAAACUUUGUUACAUGAACCUAAAAACAUCUACGUUAUUCUAGAAUAAUAAUCUAAUAUCUAACACUAAUAAGCUAAUUACUAAGACUAAGAUCACUAAAUAUUAUUGUUCUUGAGUAUUCUCUAACAAUCAUAAUCUAAUCAAUUUUAAUAGCAACCAGAAUCAAUAAACUCAAAAUUUAUGUCAAGUGGUAAUUUGAAUAUUGAUUUUUGAUUCUUAUGAAUUCUAUAAUUUUAAAUUAAUAAAUGUAAGUGAUAUAUAAUGUUUUUAUACUUUAUACAUAUUUUCACUCCAAAACAAAAAAAAUCAAGUUUACAAAUGACAUUAAUCUGUUUUCUAUUUCAGAAUUGAAAUUUAGAACUUAAUAUGUAUUAAAAAUGUUUUCAUGGAUGGAUUAAUCCUUGAUGCAUAUGUAUGGAAGAGGUCUAUUUCUGUGUAUAUCAAUUUCCGAUAUUUUUCUGUAUUUGAAAAUGCUCAAUUGGUUUCAUCUUUAUUCGAUUAGAUGACUGAACGAUCAGGUCGCUUCGGAAAGUUAAGUAGUCAUUGAGAAUGAUUAGUUCAACUGUGUCAAGUGAGUAGACUUCUCAAAUGAAGAUACCUACAUCAGAAAAAGAAGAAGAAAACAUCAUUAAGUUUCCAAUGGAACUUUCCAUAAAUUGGUUUGACUUUUGUGUUGUUGGCAUGAUAAUACCUAUGGUUGAAAUAUGAACAUAAUUUAUUUAUCUUCUCUUCUGUUUUUUUCGAUUACUUCAACAAAUGCUUGGGACUCCGAGCAAUUAGAAGUAUUUGAUGCUGUAGACGAUGUCAAACAAAACUUUUAUGAACUUCUUAAUAUUUCUAAAGAUGCUACCAGUUCUGAAAUUAAAUCAGCAUUCAGAACGCUCUCUCUUAAGCUACAUCCAGACAAAAAUAAAGAAGUUGAUACCUCUGAACAAUUCCGUAAUUUAGUUACAGUCUAUGAAGUCUUAAAAAGCCCUGCCAAAAGAAAGUAUUAUGAUGAUACCCUCAUCAAUGGACUUCCUAACUGGAGGUCGGGUAUAUUCUACUACAGAUAUGUUCGUAAAAUGGGAAUAACUGAAGUUUUAGUAAUUCUUUUUGUUAUUAUUACUAUUGGACAAUACUUGGUUAACUGGGGAGUCUACUUUGAGAAAAUUCUGACUCUGGAAGAUCAAAAACUUCGAAAGAAAAAAUCACGAAACAGAGGGAAAGUUGAGGAAGAUCCAGAUAUUAUUAUACCAAAACCAUCAGUAUUAGAUACACUUCCUAUCCAAAUACCAAAAUUUGUCUGGUUCUUAAUAACAUGCAUCCCUGCUGCAUUUAGAUUUUUAACAUCUUCAGUCAAAAAUAAGAUAGAAGUUAACAGACCUCUGACACCAGAACUAGAACCUGAACCUGUAAGGAUUAAAACCACCAGAAAAAGGAAUAAAUUUAUACUUCCAGAAGGGCCUAACUUUGAACUUCAAGAUACAGAGCCAAAAAGUGACUGUGGUACUUCAGCUCCUCCUCCUCUUGUUUCAGGAGGCCUUUGGACUGAUGAUGAUUUAACAGAAUUAAUAAGAUUAGUAAAAAAAUUUCCUCAAGGAACAACUGAAAGAUGGGAAAAAAUUGCUGCAUUUCUCUAUAGAUCUGUACCGGAAGUCACAUAUAUGGCAAAUAAGAUGAAAGAAAAUGGCUAUAGAUUACCAUGUGAACAGGAUGAUGAAAUACAAGUUAAAGUAAAACAAAAAUCAAAGAAAGAGGUUGGUCCCUAUGAUAGUGUAACAAAUUGGGGACAGGCACAGCAAAAGGCAUUGGAAGAUGCUCUUUUGAAGUUUCCCAAGGGAGUUUGUGAUAGAUGGGAUAGGAUAGCUGAACACGUUCCUGACAAAAAUAAAGAAGAAUGUAUGCAGAGGUUUAGGUACCUAGCGGAGGAUCUGAAGAAACGAAAAGAUACCUCUGAUAAGACUGAAUAAACAAAUUUUAUGAGUGCAAAAAUUUUUCGUAGAAGAAAAAUGAUUGAAUUCAUUUACAUAGAUAAGGAAAAUAAAUUGGAGCUCCAUGAAUUGGAAAAUAAUGAGGUUGUAAGAAAACGUAUUCAAAAGUGAGAUGUUUUAUUUAAGAAAAAGGCUGGUCGACAUUGAGUAAGCACGAGUGAAAGAAACUAGACUUCUUAAUAUAAAUAAUUUUAAAAGAAUUAUGUAGAUUCUCUCUCCAAAAAAACAAUAAAUUUUAUUAAAAUAGCAUAUUUUAAAUCUUCUCCUA